UACAUAGGUCCCGAGCGUUGUUCGGAUUCACUGGGCGUAAAGGGUGCGUAGGGGGCCUAAAAAGUUUGAUGUGAAAGCUCAGGGCUUAACCCUGAAAUGGCAUUGAAUACUGUUGGGCUGGAGGUUUGGAGGGGGGACUGGAAUUCUUGGUGUAGCAGUGAAAUGCGUAGAUAUCAAGAGGAACACCAGUGGCGAAGGCGAGUCCCUGGACAACACCUGACACUGAGACACGAAAGCUAGGGGAGCAAACAGG
This 253-nucleotide ribosomal RNA is filed under the name uncultured bacterium. Its description in RNAcentral is "partial 16S ribosomal RNA". It matches the Rfam family "Bacterial small subunit ribosomal RNA", at positions 524 to 776 of the family's 1533-position model. The record is from RNAcentral.